Molecule: ribosomal RNA, 460 nt
Filed under: uncultured bacterium
Lineage: Bacteria
Description: partial 16S ribosomal RNA
Rfam family: Bacterial small subunit ribosomal RNA
Source: RNAcentral
CCUACGGGUGGCAGCAGUGAGGAAUAUUGGUCAAUAGACGAAAGUCUGAACCAGCCAAGUCGCGUGAAGGAUGACUGCCCUAUGGGUUGUAAACUUCUUUUAUAUGGGAAUAAAAUGUUCCACGUGUGGGAUUUUGUAUGUACCAUAUGAAUAAGGAUCGGCUAACUCCGUGCCAGCAGCCGCGGUAAUACGGAGGAGCCGAGCGUUAUCCGGAUUUAUUGGGUUUAAGGGGAACGUAGGUGGAUUGUUAAGUCAGUUGUGAAAGUUUGCGGCUCAACCGUAGAAUUGCAGUUGAAACUGGCAGUCUUGAGUACAGUAGAGGUGGGCGGAAUUCGUGGUGUAGCGGUGAAAUGCGUAGAUAUCACGAAGAACUCCGAUUGCGAAGGCAGGUCACGAGACUGCAACUGACACUGAGGCUCGAAAGUGUGGGUAUCAAACAGGAUUAGAUACCCUUGUAGUC